AACCUGCCCAAGAGAUCGGAUACACCUGGAACAGAUGCUAAUACCGGAUAACAACAGAUGAUGCCUAUCAACUGUUUAAAGAUGGUCUGCUAUCACUCUUGGAUGGACCUGCGGUGCAUUAGCUAGUUGGUAGGGUAACGGCCUACCAAGGCGAUGAUGCAUAGCCGAGUUGAGAGACUGAUCGGCCACAUUGGGACUGAGACACGGCCCAAACUCCUACGGGAGGCAGCAGGU
Molecule: ribosomal RNA, 234 nt
Filed under: uncultured Lactobacillus sp.
Lineage: Bacteria; Bacillati; Bacillota; Bacilli; Lactobacillales; Lactobacillaceae
Description: partial 16S ribosomal RNA
Rfam family: Bacterial small subunit ribosomal RNA
Source: RNAcentral